ACGUGCCUCAUCUACCAAUAAGGGCUUUAUUUUAUACCAAAGUUUUAAGCAGCUACAGUUUACAAUUCAAACCUAUGACUGCACUCAAAGCUGCAGUGACAUUUUUCAUCUGGUUCAGCAUCCCAAUCUAAAGCACACAAUAAUUUCCUACGAUGGUGAGGCAACUGAAUCGAUAACACGUAGACCAGAUCGAGAGUUGAAACUCCACACUACAGGAAAACCAGAGCAAGACAGAUGGCUGAAGACAAUAUUUUAUCCGAACAAUAUUCAUUGCAUCCAUGCUUACCUCCCUCUUCCCCUGUAGCUCCAGCCCAUAGCAUUCCACAGUUUAAAACAGAGCAGAUAAAGGGUGAGACAAUACCUCAACAACAAUUGCUCAACGACUUAAGUGUCAUUUAGUUAUUCUUAUAUAAAAUUACACUCUAAAGUAUCUAGGCUUCAUUGCUCUUGACUGAGUACUCGUGUUCACUGACAUCCUCUAUUGCUAAAUUGCUGAUGCGUCAUCAUUCCUCAGGUUUCACAGUUCAGAGGAAGAAAUGCAAUUGAUUAUUUUUAAGUGGUUGGCUGACAUAUUGACCUAGCAUAGAUCAAGCAAUUCCAUGACAAUCUUAGUAUCAAGACUAACUUGUGCAUUCAUGUCAACAGCACUCUGUUUUAGAAGGGAAAUGCUUUCAUCCAGGGAAGCUUGUUGUCCAGCCUAAUACAUAGCAGAGCCAUAGUCUCAGUUAGCCUCUAGCACAACAUAGGAGAAACAAAUCAAGUCAUUCAAUCAAAAGGACCUUAAAGCCCUCCUCUUUGGGGCUUCGGGAUGCUGAGCGCUCGCGGGAGACAUGGAUCGCGCCAUCACAAUGCCCUUGACACAUAAGAUUUUAGCACCUGGGACAUAUAAAGAAAAAUCAGAACAAAGGUGAAUCUAUUCUGAUAGACAUCGAGAGUGAAGGGGGGAGAAGGAUUGAGAGAAACUUGCCUUGACAUCAGCCAUCCCUCCAUGAGAGUGCCGCUUCGAGCUCCUCCCGUGCACACCAUCUUCAGCCGUCAGGAUCUCUCCUUCGCUCCAAUCCAUGACGCUGCAGCUCCUUGUCUCUAAUCACACCAAAAAUGAUUCAGUAUUGCCAUAACUGAAUCUAUCAGAAAAAUGAACCAAUGUUUCGUAGUACUCCUAAGUUGGAGUAAUCAUGUAAGAACAUGCUUGAGCUCUUGCAAUGGAACCUAGAGUUAAUUACCUUAAUACCAAAGUAAGCUGGGCCUUCCAUUUUUUACUUUUGUUCUACAAAUUUCAUAUAGAAAAAUAUACAAUCAUCAAAAUGUAACAAAGCCGUAGUUCCACAAGCAAAUAAAGCAUUGAAACUAUAAGGCAUUACAAACUAAGUAAGUACAAUUCAAAUGUAAAUAUGAAAUGGUGACGCAGAAAUUAACAAAGCGAACUGCAGUUCAGUACCAAACACUGUCUUUUAGUUCUGUGAUGAUCACAUAAUUAACAAAGACUGGACAAACACCAUUCUGAGAAACUCUACUGGCGCAACCAGCAAACCAUACACACGGUGAUCAGCCUCUGCAAUAGAAACACAUGGUGCCCGCACGCCUCGGUUUGUACAUGAAAACAUACGAAACAUUAAAAAGCAGAGAAGCAAGAUAUGUAGUGUUCCCAUCAACCAUUGAAAGAUUCAAUUAGGAAUGAAUUAGUUACUUUUACACACAGUAAAGAAUGAAAGCUUUAAAAACCAUCAAAACAUAUUCAGUCAAAUCAGCAGCAAUCUGAAAUUACAACUACCAUGAUAUUUUUAGAAACCAAUCUUGCAAACAAAGUAGGAUAAUUACCACAAUCUUCUAGGAAUUCAUGGUCCCACCUAGCUAGUCUCAAUAAACGCCAAAAGUUGGUGAUCCCAUAAAUGUAUUAAGUGAUUGUCUUAAAGUUUGGACCAGACUCACACAAUUAUCCCUGCAAAAAUUGGACAGACUGAAAUUACUAAUACUUCGUACUUGCACAAAACAGAAAGGUAUAUAGUCAGAAAAUAGUCAAGUAAAAAACCCUCUCCAUCCCAACCACUUCAUUGCAAUAUUAAAAUGAGACAGAUUCCUUAGCCAAAUUUAUAAUGGUAAUACAUAGUUUAGAGAUUGAAUGAUAUCCCUAAUAGUAAACUAAACUAUAGAAGGUGCUACAGCUAGCCAUCUUUGCUGUAACAACACGAUGAUAUUCCUAAGAAACUAUCAUCUGCAUUGGUACUUUCUCAGGUUUAGGAUAUCCAUUCCUUACAUGGUAAUGCAACCCAACAUGAUAUCCUUUAUGCUUAUGGUUAAUACGAAAGAUUUAGUAAAAUAAAAAGUAUCAACAGAAAUAGGGUCAUUACUAAAUUGUUAAUCUACUUAUCUGCAAUCCAUCUUCAGAGAUCACUCUACACGAUGGUCAUAACUUCUAUAUAUUAAUUCCUCUAUACUUCCAUUUUGUGAAAUGAUCUGCGAAAGUAUUAUAUGUACUCGUUAGAAAAAUACUCAUGAAAGUACACUGUUCCAAAAAUGGAACAAUAAAUUUGACACAAACUUGAUGACAGUCUGAAGCUAAACUCCUACCGUGAGGCCAUAUAUGCAUUUUGUUAUGGAAUGGUCUGAAUCAUAAAUUCGCUGCCAGGAAAGAAACCUGCACAAUCAGGAUUAUACACUAAGAGGAAGGACUAAAGAAAAAAAAUGCAGACAAAUAAAAAUAUUAACACAAAAAGGUCAAUCGGUACCAAGAAAAGGGGUCGCCAAAAGAUGUAGAUCCAAACUGAACUGAAUUUUGGGGCUAAAUGACACGAACACAUCUAUUUAAGGAGGAGCUCAAGUGGACCUGGUGCUUCAGCGUAGUCGAGGGCACGACAUCCCCUGAUGCACUCACGAGAGGGUUUACUGGAUUCAAAGAGAAGAGGAGGCGGCAGCCGCUGAACUCACCACCAGUCAUUGAUAGUUACUAGAAGAGAAGAGAAGAAGAGGGAUUACUGGAAUAAUUUUUAGAGACUGCAAUGAGCUACAGCUAAAGCAACAUUAUUAUCACAAGUCAUUGAUAGUUUUCUAAUCACAAAGAACAACAUGAUGGUUGGAUCAAUGUCGAUGGAAUAAUUUCAAGUUGCAAGAGAGAUGUAGACCGGAGAGAUGUGCCCCAAUGAUGAUGACACCAAUCUGUAGCAUGCGAGCUCUUUGUGUCUAGGUAGGCGAGCACCCACAGGUUGGGAGCACAAGCGAUCCUAAGCCCCACCACACCAUUAGGCGGCAGGAGCAAGAAGAGCCGCUCCAGGAGUGGCGUGUCCACCACGGUGAACUCCUUCGCCUUGGGCAGACCAACGAGCGUGCAACUAAGCCCCACCACACCAUUAAUUAUGCCCACUGCGAUGAAAAUUUCUUCAUUUACAGGUCCGAUAUCAACCGCGACCCACCCAAACUCUUCCCAAUGCAUGGGCUAGACACCUAAACUCCAUGCCAUUGGCAGGCUGUAAUUUAGGCACCGCAAGCAAAACUAUCAAAGCUAUGCAUCCAAAAAGUGCAGGAAAGUUGCUACCAAUUUCCCAUUGACUGAACAUGCAAACCUGAAACAUAAACAGAGUAGAAACAAUGAACAUUUCCUCUGAUAUGAACUCUCUUUGCAAGUAGGUAAGCAACACAAUAAGUGUAUUAUGUUUAAAGGAAAUGUAACUCUGUUACGCACAUGUUAAAUUGCACUUGAAUUAUGCUUGUAUGCAGUUUGCAUCUGCUUAUCUGACAAAUAGAUGUUAAUUUAAGUGUUCAUGCUGUUACAUUUCUGUCCAUUUGCUUGCUUACCGCCCAAACUUUCACCAGAUAGUGCUUUCUGUUGUGUUUUUGAUGUUGUCGCAUUUGACAAAUAAUAGUACUAUAUCAUCUGUUGAUUAGAAAUAAGAUUUGUAGUCUAAUUUCCCAACUGUAAGCAUUCUCAGUAUAUCUGUCUAGUGAGGCUAAUAGCGAUGUGAUAAUUACCAAGGAAUCUUAUUCCUGCUAUCUUAAUAGUUGUUCAUAAACCAUGCUCUGUUACACUAUGCUAGUAUAUACUAUCCUGCUAUGUUAAAAUCAGUACCAUCUCCCUCCUUCCCUCUAGUUCUAUUGCUGUAGUGAUAUACCCCAGAUCUUUUGUCCACCUCACACCUAUUGAAAUUCCUAGAUUUAUACAUCUUUUUAUUUGACUCCAAACUAACAAAAACACUGGCCUGUAGAACAGAGGGGCUGCUUGCUGGUUGUCUGCCUCUGCAUGUUGGAUCCAACUGGGCCAAAGCCAUAGCUGAGUGUUGCAAGCACUAACUGUAAGAGCCAUAGCUGAGUGUUGCAAGCACUAACUGUAAACCUGUGUGCUCUGGCCUACAGGCCGUUUUACAGGUUUAGAGAGGUCCUUGGUCAGAAAAUUCAGUUACCUAUUCGCAGAGGGCUCCGAGCCUGCCCAUGGCCAGUCAUCUAUUCUGCCCAGUGACAACAGCGGUGCUGAC
This 4463-nucleotide long non-coding RNA is filed under the name Triticum aestivum (bread wheat). RNAcentral describes it as "long non-coding RNA (TAES_LNC006843)". Lineage: Eukaryota; Viridiplantae; Streptophyta; Magnoliopsida; Poales; Poaceae. The record is from RNAcentral.